RNAcentral lists this unclassified non-coding RNA (253 nucleotides) under uncultured Pirellulaceae bacterium. RNAcentral describes it as "contains 16S-23S intergenic spacer region". It matches the Rfam family "Bacterial small subunit ribosomal RNA", at positions 524 to 776 of the family's 1533-position model. Lineage: Bacteria; Pseudomonadati; Planctomycetota; Planctomycetia; Pirellulales; Pirellulaceae. The record is from RNAcentral.
GACGAACCGUCCAAACGUUAUUCGGUAUCACUGGGCUUAAAGAGUUCGUAGGCGGCCGAGCAGGUCAGGUGUGAAAUCCCACAGCUCAACUGUGGAACUGCGCUUGAAACCGCUCGGCUUGAGGGAGAUAGAGGUGAGUGGAACAGAUGGUGGAGCGGUGAAAUGCGUUGAUAUCAUCUGGAACACCGGUGGCGAAAGCGGCUCACUGGAUCUUUUCUGACGCUGAGGAACGAAAGCUAGGGUAGCGAACGGG